This 148-nucleotide non-coding RNA is filed under the name Gorilla gorilla gorilla (western lowland gorilla). The record is from Rfam by way of RNAcentral. Lineage: Eukaryota; Metazoa; Chordata; Mammalia; Primates; Hominidae.
GCCGGGCAUGGUGGUGCGUGCCUGUAAUCCUAGCUACUCAGGAGGCUGAGACAAGAGAAUAGCUUGAACCCGGGAGGUGGAGGUUGCAGUGAGCCAAGAUCGUGCCACUGCACUCCAGCCUGGGGUACAGAGCGAGACCCUGUCUCAA